CUAUGUGUGGACGGGAUAAGUGCUGAAAGCAUCUAAGCAUGAAGCCCCCCUCAAGAUGAGAUUUCCCAUAGCGCAAGCUAGUAAGAUCCCUGAAAGAUGAUCAGGUUGAUAGGUCAGAGGUGGAAGCAUGGCGACAUGUGUAGCUGACUGAUACUAAUCGAUCGAGGACUUAACCAA
This 177-nucleotide ribosomal RNA is filed under the name Priestia megaterium. RNAcentral's name for it is "partial 23S ribosomal RNA". It matches the Rfam family "Bacterial large subunit ribosomal RNA", at positions 2749 to 2925 of the family's 2925-position model. The record is from RNAcentral. Lineage: Bacteria; Bacillati; Bacillota; Bacilli; Caryophanales; Bacillaceae.